RNAcentral lists this unclassified non-coding RNA (404 nucleotides) under soil metagenome. RNAcentral describes it as "partial contains 5.8S ribosomal RNA, internal transcribed spacer 2, and large subunit ribosomal RNA". The stretch from base 1 to 121 matches the Rfam family "5.8S ribosomal RNA", at positions 35 to 154 of the family's 154-position model. The record is from RNAcentral.
GAUGAAGAACGCAGUGAAAUGCGAUAAGUAAUGUGAAUUGCAGAAUUCAGUGAAUCAUCGAAUCUUUGAACGCACCUUGCGCCCUUUGGCCAUUCCGAAGGGCAUGCCUGUUUGAGUAUCAUGAACACCUCAACUCCUCAUGGUCUUCUAUGAUGAGCUUGGACUUUGGGGGCUUGCUGGCCCAUUUGGUCAGCUCCUCUCAAAUGAAUCAGCCUACCAGUGUUUGGUGGCACCACAGGUGUGAUAACAAUCUACGCUUGAGGUUUUCCACCAGGCAACCUUCAGUAAUUGGGGUUCACUGGGGCUCACAAAUGUCUUUCUUCAGUGAGGACAGCUCUUUGAAUGUUUGAUCUCAAAUCAGGUAGGACUACCCGCUGAACUUAAGCAUAUCAAUAAGCGGAGGA